This 349-nucleotide ribosomal RNA is filed under the name uncultured bacterium. RNAcentral's name for it is "bacterial SSU rRNA". It matches the Rfam family "Bacterial small subunit ribosomal RNA", at positions 917 to 1269 of the family's 1533-position model. The record is from RNAcentral.
GGACCCGCACAAGUAGUGGAGCAUGUGGUUUAAUUCGAUGAUACGCGAGGAACCUUACCAGGGCUUAAAUGCAGAGCGAAUAGUUUGGAAACAGACUAGCCUUCGGGCGAUCUGCAAGGUGCUGCAUGGCUGUCGUCAGCUCGUGCCGUGAGGUGUUGGUUAAGUCCCGCAACGAGCGCAACCCCUAUCGUUAGUUGCCAGCGGGUCAUGCCGGGAACUCUAGCGAAACUGCCGGUGCAAACCGAGAGGAAGGUGGGGAUGACGUCAAAUCAUCACGGCCCUUACGUGUUGGACUACACACGUGCUACAAUGGUAUUUACAACAGGAAGCAAGACGGCGACGUUAAGCA